This 370-nucleotide unclassified non-coding RNA is filed under the name Hevea brasiliensis (rubber tree). The record is from RNAcentral. Lineage: Eukaryota; Viridiplantae; Streptophyta; Magnoliopsida; Malpighiales; Euphorbiaceae.
AAAAAAUGUCUCCUCUCCUCCCUUUUGCAGAAAAUUUCAACUAACUCCAAUUUUGACUCUUCCACUUCACUUGAUGAGAUGUCACAAGCUAAUUGGAUGAGAAAAUACCCUCAUAUGGUAUGUCACAACUGGCCAUGCACCUGGAGUCAAUCCCACAGCUAGCCAUGUGCCUUUUACAAUCUCACAAGGAGCCAUGAGACAUCUCACAGCUUGCCAUAACAUAUUCUGCCACCAUGAAACUUCCUCCAUUUUUUUACCAUUUUUCCACCACUUCUUGCAUAAAAUGAACAAACUUCAAUUAGACAAAAGAAAAUCACUUUUAACUUAAUUAACUAUAAAAUGUAAGUAAAAAUUAAUUAAAAGACUAAAU